AAAGAGCUCGUAGGUGGUCUGUUGCGUCCGCUGUGAAAUCUCAGGGCUUAACCCUGAGCCUGCAGUGGAUACGGGCAGACUAGAGGUAGGUAGGGGAGAAUGGAAUUCCUGGUGUAGCGGUGAAAUGCGCAGAUAUCAGGAGGAACACCGGUGGCGAAGGCGGUUCUCUGGGCCUUACCUGACACUGAGGAGCGAAAGCGUGGGGAGCGAACAGGAUUAGAUACCCCAGU
RNAcentral lists this ribosomal RNA (230 nucleotides) under uncultured bacterium. Its description in RNAcentral is "partial 16S ribosomal RNA". It matches the Rfam family "Bacterial small subunit ribosomal RNA", at positions 562 to 791 of the family's 1533-position model. The record is from RNAcentral.